Molecule: long non-coding RNA, 1409 nt
Filed under: Capsicum annuum
Lineage: Eukaryota; Viridiplantae; Streptophyta; Magnoliopsida; Solanales; Solanaceae
Description: long non-coding RNA (CANN_LNC000962)
Source: RNAcentral
GCGAAAAAAAGGGGUUGAAGACCUGAGAGAAAGAGGUGGAAAAUCGGAGAAAGGGAAAACUUGAAAAAAAAAAAGACAAUUUUUUUAUUUUUAGAAGAGAAUUUGGGAACAAGUUUUGAAGGUCGAAAAUUAGAAGAAAGAGAGUGAAAAAUUAGUGUUAAAAAGAGUGAAAGUAGAGCAAAUUAGAGCACAAGUAAUCAAAAUCCUUGGAGUUGAAUCCGCCAGAGAACCUUGACGUCGGAACUCCAGUUUAGCUACACCACAAAAGGUGUGUAUUUAUCUAUUUAUUUAUCUUGAAGUUUUGGUUUGUUGUCUGUUUUGUUGGAUUGUUAAAAAAAAUGUUCUUCCAAAUCUUGUAGAAAAUGAGGAAACAAAAACUAGUGUAAGGUGUUAAUUGAUUCCCUCUUUUGUCUAUGGAUUUAGAUUAGGUGUUUGGUUGUAUCUAUUCAUUUAUGCAUAUUAUUCUUCUUUUUCCAAGACAAUGACCCACAAUUGGCACAAAGAAUAUUUAGAAAUUAUGAAUUUGUUCUAAAUGAUGUACUUAGGAUAUCAUUUGGUCCAUGGGAUCCCUUAUGUGUAAUUUAUAUUUCCAAAAUCUGUUUUAUAUAUGUUUAUCUGAUAUUUAAAUUUAUUGACCCAAUUAAUUUAAAGUUUUUUUUUGAUAGAUUUUGAAAUUUGUUGUUAGUAGACUCUUUUCUAAAAAAAUAAAUAAUAAAAUUUGAUAUGAAUGAUUUUAAAUUCAAUGAUGAUUUCAAGUAGCCUUUUUUUUUUACAUAUAACUAUGGCAUAAUAUGUGUAUGUAUGUGUAUAAAGUUUUCUAAAUAAAAUAAACUAAUUAACUUCAUGUUUAUUUUCUCAAAAAAUAUAAAAGGAAUAAAAUAAUGAUAAAGAAAGACUAGGCAAUAAUGGCAAAACAUGGAAUAUACCAAUAUUAGGAAGUGGAAAAACGUGUCCUUUAUGAAUGGUAGAAUCUUUUUAGUCCCCACAUAUUCCUAUGUUUCUUUCUCUCUAAACUAAUUGCCACUUUUUAUUAUUAUAUAAUUAAUGUUAUUAUCUGUAGUUGCCUUUUGAUUCUUUACAAGAGCUAUAUAUGUAAAAUAAACUUUCAUAUCCGUGAUAUAAAAAUAUCGUUGCAAAGUCUCAUGAAGUGUCUUUACAUAUUGUGGCUUAUUAUCUAACUAUCAAAUUACUAAUUCGUUAUUUUUUUUUUUUUCAUUUUGCAUGAAACUCGGGAGUUGGAGUUCCGCAAUGAAACUCGUCUUGACCUAACAUCGGGUCAAUCGCUAUUAGGAUCGCAGAGCUUCGAGAUCGCAUUACUUGAAACCACGAAAUGGAGUCUAGUUUCCCCUCUAGUUUCUCCUCCAUUAAAUUAUUCGUUUUAUAUUGUUAUUAUUAUUAUCGUUUUGUGG